GGUUCUGUAGUGUAACUAACAUCUUUGAUUGCAAAUUUUAGGAUGCGGAAAGUAAGGUUCCGCCAGAACUU
This 71-nucleotide transfer RNA is filed under the name Henricia pachyderma. RNAcentral describes it as "tRNA-Cys". The record is from RNAcentral. Lineage: Eukaryota; Metazoa; Echinodermata; Asteroidea; Spinulosida; Echinasteridae.